UUAAUUUAUCAAAAAGAAAUUAAUUUUUCAGAUGUGAAACCAUGUCUGAAUUAAAAAAAUGAGACGCAUAUUCCUUUUUGCCCCUUAUAACAUUUCAGGAACAUCUGCUUCAUUUCUUUCUACUCCAUCAACGCCACAACCCCCUUCUCCCUCCCGCUCCAACUCUAAUCUACAACCCUCAGCCGAUCUCCCUCCGCCACCGACACCAGCCUCGCCAGCGACGCCGACGUUGACGUCGAUAGCCCCGAGAACGACUCCGAUACCAUCGCCCCUUCUCCCACCCAGCGGUUCUAUAUAAGGUUUUUCUUUCUUGCCCUAAAAAUUGAUUAUCUGUUCAUAGAUGGUUGUUAUUUAGUUUUUUUUUUCUGAAAUUAGAAGCCCUAAAUCUCGAUUUUGUAAAUCUGGAGAUGUUUUCUGGAGUUGUGUUCUUCCUUCGGAUUUGUCCGGGUUUUUGGUUGACUGAUCGAGUUUAGAGGAUUGUUUUUUGGGAAUUUUGGUGUUUAUCAGAGCAUAUGAGAAAACAAAUUUCAGGGAUUUCUGUUUCUUUUAUUGAAGUGAGAAGAUGUCUCAUUUUAAAUGGUGAUAGAAUGCAUUAUUUUGUGCAUAGGUUUUGAAUGUUGGUGUUUCGUUUAUGUACUUAAAUUGUCAAGAUGUUGGUGUCACUUUUGGAAUGUGAAUUAACUGGACUUGUACAAAUUUCAGGGAUAUUUUUUCUAAUCCCUUUCAGUUUUUUCUAAUCCAUUAAUGAUUGUAUAUAUUUCCAUUGAGCUUAUUUGUUUUGUUGUUAAAUUAUCAAUUUCGGGUUGAAAUGUUGGCAAGAAAAAUUGAGAGGCUAUUAAAGGGCAUGUUUCAUGUAAUGAUGGAGAAGAAGUAUGGAUGUAUUUGUUUAGCUUGAACAUUUGUUGUUGUUUUUCCUGAUCACUUUUUUUUCUAAUAGAUUUGUUGAUCACACCAAGAUAUUUGUAUGUUUUCAUGAAUUUGAAAGAAUUUAUGUUGUAUUUUGGAUUUGUGUUUAAUUUGGAUUUUGUAUGGUGUUAAAUAUAAGAAAUAGCAAUGUAUUUUUAUUGAUUUAUCUAUUAUAGCAUCAUUACUUUCACCUUUUCCUAUUAGAGAAUUGCAUUUUAUAAACAUAAACAUUAUAUUCAACAAAAAAUAAUACAAAGGGUAAAAUGGUCAUUUUUGUAAUUCAGCAUAGCAAUUCAGAGGUUCCAACCAAACAGCAUAUUAAAAUUUCAGAUCUUAAAAAUUCAGACCGUCUUAGAAAUUCAGACCUCUUAAAAAUUCAGAGCUUAAAAGUUCAGAUCCUGCCAAAC
This 1313-nucleotide long non-coding RNA is filed under the name Lactuca sativa (garden lettuce). RNAcentral's name for it is "long non-coding RNA (LSAT_LNC007403)". The record is from RNAcentral. Lineage: Eukaryota; Viridiplantae; Streptophyta; Magnoliopsida; Asterales; Asteraceae.